UGGUAGGCAAAUCAGGCAACUUAGGGCAGUUCUUGUUUAGGUGUUUCCGGCUUUGGUAGGUUGGGUAAUUUAGGUAUUUCUGGUUUGGGUAACUCAGGAACUUUGGGCAAUUCUGGUUUCGGCACUUCAGGAAUUUUAGGCAAUUCUGGUUUUGUUAAUUCGGGAAUUUUCGGUAAUUCAGGAGCUUUUGGCAAUUCUGGCUUAGGCACCUCAGGAACUUUUGGCAACUCGGGAGCCUUGGGCAACUCUGGCUUGGGCACCUCGGGAACUUUAGGCAACUCUGGCUUUGGUAACCCGGGAACUUUUGGUGCUUCAGAUUUUGACAAUUUAGGAGCUUUGGGCAUCUCAGGAACUUUAGGUAAUUCUGGAACUUUGACUUCUUCAGGUUUUUUCAACUCGGGAACCUUAGGAAAUUCAGGCUUUGGCAACUCUGGCACUUUUGGAAACUCAGGAACCUUAGGUAGUUCAGGUUUUGGCAACUCUGGCACUUUCGGAAACUCGGGAACCUUAGGCAAUUCAGGUUUUGGCAACUCCGGAACUUUAGGCAAUUCAGGCUUUGGCAACUCAGGCAUUUUAGGUAUUUCGAGUUUUGGGAUUUCCGGUAAUUCAGGCUUUGGAAGUUCAACCUUUGGGAAGGACGGUAUCUUAGGCAACUCCGGUUUAGGAAUCUCCGGCACAGAUGUCUCCAAAAGACGCCGAGCACCAACCAAGACUGUGUUGCUGCUCAUCAAUGACAAAGUGACGAAUAAAAACGGUAGCACAAAGAAAGGCAAACGAUGGGAAGCCAUGAUUAAGAAAAAUCAGAGGGGAGAUGACAACAAGUGCUUCAAAAUGAAUACUUGAAGUGUGCUUGUUUAUGCAAUUGCAAGAGAUGAUGAGCCUUUUAUAGGUAUUGGGAAG
This 900-nucleotide long non-coding RNA is filed under the name Gossypium raimondii (Peruvian cotton). RNAcentral describes it as "long non-coding RNA (GRAI_LNC010159)". The record is from RNAcentral. Lineage: Eukaryota; Viridiplantae; Streptophyta; Magnoliopsida; Malvales; Malvaceae.